GGGUGGGGGAGGCUUACCAUGCAGUCGAGCGGAGUGAUGGUGCUUGCACUAUCACUUAGCGGCGGACGGGUGAGUAAUGCUUAGGAAUCUGCCUAUUAGUGGGGGACAACAUUUCGAAAGGAAUGCUAAUACCGCAUACGUCCUACGGGAGAAAGCAGGGGAUCUUCGGACCUUGCGCUAAUAGAUGAGCCUAAGUCGGAUUAGCUAGUUGGUGGGGUAAAGGCCUACCAAGGCGACGAUCUGUAGCGGGUCUGAGAGGAUGAUCCGCCACACUGGGACUGAGACACGGCCCAGACUCCUACGGGAGGCAGCAGUGGGGAAUAUUGGACAAUGGGCGCAAGCCUGAUCCAGCCAUGCCGCGUGUGUGAAGAAGGCCUUAUGGUUGUAAAGCACUUUAAGCGAGGAGGAGGCUACUGAAGUUAAUACCUUCAGAUAGUGGACGUUACUCGCAGAAUAAGCACCGGCUAACUCUGUGCCAGCAGCCGCGGUAAUACAGAGGGUGCAAGCGUUAAUCGGAUUUACUGGGCGUAAAGCGCGCGUAGGCGGCUAAUUAAGUCAAAUGUGAAAUCCCCGAGCUUAACUUGGGAAUUGCAUUCGAUACUGGUUAGCUAGAGUGUGGGAGAGGAUGGUAGAAUUCCAGGUGUAGCGGUGAAAUGCGUAGAGAUCUGGAGGAAUACCGAUGGCGAAGGCAGCCAUCUGGCCUAACACUGACGCUGAGGUGCGAAAGCAUGGGGAGCAAACAGGAUUAGAUACCCUGGUAGUCCAUGCCGUAAACGAUGUCUACUAGCCGUUGGGGCCUUUGAGGCUUUAGUGGCGCAGCUAACGCGAUAAGUAGACCGCCUGGGGAGUACGGUCGCAAGACUAAAACUCAAAUGAAUUGACGGGGGCCCGCACAAGCGGUGGAGCAUGUGGUUUAAUUCGAUGCAACGCGAAGAACCUUACCUGGCCUUGACAUAGUAAGAACUUUCCAGAGAUGGAUUGGUGCCUUCGGGAACUUACAUACAGGGGCUGCAUGGCUGUCGUCAGUU
Molecule: ribosomal RNA, 1028 nt
Filed under: Acinetobacter sp.
Lineage: Bacteria; Pseudomonadati; Pseudomonadota; Gammaproteobacteria; Moraxellales; Moraxellaceae
Description: bacterial SSU rRNA
Rfam family: Bacterial small subunit ribosomal RNA
Source: RNAcentral